Molecule: ribosomal RNA, 973 nt
Filed under: uncultured bacterium
Lineage: Bacteria
Description: bacterial SSU rRNA
Rfam family: Bacterial small subunit ribosomal RNA
Source: RNAcentral
GGAACUGGAGCGGCGUCCUACACAUGUAGGUCGAGCGGUAACAGGCGUAGCAAUACGUGCUGACGAGCGGCGAACGGGUGAGAAACGCUUCGGAAUCUGCCCAAUGGUGGGGAAUAACCAGCCGAAAGGUUGGCUAAUACCGCAUGAGCCCUACGGGGGAAAGCGGGGGAUCGUAAGACCUCGCGCCGAUGGAUGAGCCGAAGCCGGAUUAGCUAGUUGGUAGGGUAACGGCCUACCAAGGCGACGAUCCGUAGCUGGUCUGAGAGGACGACCAGCCACACUGGGACUGAGACACGGCCCAGACUCCUACGCGAGGCAGCAGUGGGGAAUAUUGGACAAUGGGGGAAACCCUGAUCCAGCGACGCCGCGUGUGUGAAGAAGGCCUGCGGGUUGUAAAGCACUUUUAGUGGGGAUGAAAAGCUCAGAGCUAACACCUCUGGGUCUUGACCUAACCCACAGAAAAAGCACCGGCUAACUCUGUGCCAGCAGCCGCGGUAAUACAGAGGGUGCGAGCGUUAAUCGGAAUUACUGGGCGUAAAGCGUACGUAGACGGUUGGAUAAGUCAGAUGUGAAAGCCCCGGGCUCAACCUGGGAAUGGCAUUUGAGACUGUUCAGCUAGGGUGCGGAAGAGGGAAGCGGAAUUUCCGGUGUAGCGGUGAAAUGCGUAGAUAUCGGAAGGAACACCAGUGGCGAAAGCGGCUUCCUGGUCCAGCACCGACGUUCAGGUACGAAAGCAUGGGGAGCAAACAGGAUUAGAUACCCUGGUAGUCCAUGCCAUAAACGAUGAGGACUAGACGUUGAGAGGGUAAGCCUCGCAGUGUCGUAGCUAACGCGCUAAGUCCUCGCUGGGGAGUACGGGCCGCAAGGUGAAACUCAAGGAAUCGACGGGGACCCGCACAAGCGGUGAGCAUGUGUUUAAUCGAUGCACGCGAGAUCUUACCUGGUCUUGAACAUUCCUUGGGGAAACCCGCCU